RNAcentral lists this long non-coding RNA (713 nucleotides) under Pongo abelii (Sumatran orangutan). RNAcentral's name for it is "lincRNA". Lineage: Eukaryota; Metazoa; Chordata; Mammalia; Primates; Hominidae. The record is from RNAcentral.
AUGGGAGAGACAGGCAAGCUGCAAAGGGAAGUCGACGAAAUAAAAUUAAAGCCCUACAAUCGUGUUCGUGUCAAUGUAGAUGGGGUGCCCCCCUCAGUUUGCUCACAGAGGUGGGUGUGAGAUCCUACAGGACGGUCUGGAAGACAUCCCAUGGAAGGCACUUUAUUUUGCCCAGAAGCUGGAGGAAAAGCAGAAGAGUGCUGAUUGGUGCAUUUACAAUCCUUUAGCUAGACAGAAAAGUUCUCCAAGUCCCCACUUGACCCAGAAAGUCCAGCUGGCUUCACCUCUCAAAACCACUCCACCUGAGGUUUUUAGAUCAAAAAGAAUUGUACUCAAGGAAUUGAAGCUAUGGAGCCUCUGCCACAUCUGGACCUGAUUUUGAUGAAAAGAUCCUGUACCUCAAGCCCGAGACUAAUUUCAUAAUUUGAUGAAUUUUUUGGAGAGUCAUGGGAGGAAUGUAAACAAUUUGUGGCCAAAGGAGAAUUAUGGUAGUUUGAGGAUGUGGACACAAAUUAUUUGACAUUCUUCUCAUAGAAAGGUAACUCCAUAGCUGGGAGCCAAGUCUCAAAGCCCCAUGAGGGGAAGUGAAUACAUCUCAGAAUUGGGUUUCCUGAUACACACUACUGCAUCCUUCAUCUGCCAGGCCCUGGCAUUGUUUAUUGGAGAAGAUGUCAUAGGAAAUUGGGCCAUGUCAUUGAGCCACUGGAGUCACA